This 775-nucleotide ribosomal RNA is filed under the name uncultured Neocallimastigales. Its description in RNAcentral is "partial large subunit ribosomal RNA". It matches the Rfam family "Eukaryotic large subunit ribosomal RNA", at positions 1 to 644 of the family's 3401-position model. The record is from RNAcentral. Lineage: Eukaryota; Fungi; Neocallimastigomycota; Neocallimastigomycetes; Neocallimastigales.
UUACUAGAGUAGCACUCGCAUAUCAAUAAGCGGAGGAAAAGAAACUAACAAGGAUUCCCCUAGUAACGGCGAGUGAAGCGGGAAGAGCUCAAAUUUGAAAUCUUAAAGGGUUUCCCUUUACGAAUUGUAGUUUAAAGAAGUGUUUUCUGUUGAGGUUUUGGUAAAAGUUCUUUGGAAUAGGACAUCAUAGAGGGUGAGAAUCCCGUAUUUGACCUUUACUUUCAACUUUGUGAUACACUUUCAAAGAGUCGGAUUGUUUGGGAAUGCAGUCCAAAAUGGGUGGUAAAUUUCAUCUAAAGCUAAAUAUUGGCGAGAGACCGAUAGCGAACAAGUACCGUGAGGGAAAGAUGAAAAGAACUUUGAAAAGAGAGUUAAACAGUACGUGAAAUUGUCAAAAGGGAAGCGUUUGACACCAGUGUUGUUUUUCUGAAAAUCAAUUAAAGAACUGUUUAUGCUAAGCUGUUUAGACUUUAUCAGCUAUCUGUUUAGUUUUGAGCUUUUCUUUAAUGCACUUUUCAGUUAACAAGUCAACAUCAAUUUCUUUUGCUGUAAAAAAGCUUGAGGAAGGUGGCUUGAGAUUCGUCUUAAGUGUUUAUAGCCUCUUGCCUAUGCAGUCGGAGAGAUUGAGGUCUGCAGCGUAGAUCCUUCGGGGCUAAAUGCAUUUGUGCUAAGUUAUAGCAUUUUAUAGACAACUUGUUGACUAUGAUUUGUCUUGUAGCUUACUCGCUUAUGUUAUUUUACCUACGCUUAGGAUGUUGAACUACUGAGACAUAGA